RNAcentral lists this ribosomal RNA (1466 nucleotides) under Lactiplantibacillus plantarum. Its description in RNAcentral is "Lactobacillus plantarum partial 16S ribosomal RNA". It matches the Rfam family "Bacterial small subunit ribosomal RNA". The record is from RNAcentral. Lineage: Bacteria; Bacillati; Bacillota; Bacilli; Lactobacillales; Lactobacillaceae.
GCUGGCGGCGUGCCUAAUACAUGCAAGUCGAACGAACUCUGGUAUUGAUUGGUGCUUGCAUCAUGAUUUACAUUUGAGUGAGUGGCGAACUGGUGAGUAACACGUGGGAAACCUGCCCAGAAGCGGGGGAUAACACCUGGAAACAGAUGCUAAUACCGCAUAACAACUUGGACCGCAUGGUCCGAGCUUGAAAGAUGGCUUCGGCUAUCACUUUUGGAUGGUCCCGCGGCGUAUUAGCUAGAUGGUGGGGUAACGGCUCACCAUGGCAAUGAUACGUAGCCGACCUGAGAGGGUAAUCGGCCACAUUGGGACUGAGACACGGCCCAAACUCCUACGGGAGGCAGCAGUAGGGAAUCUUCCACAAUGGACGAAAGUCUGAUGGAGCAACGCCGCGUGAGUGAAGAAGGGUUUCGGCUCGUAAAACUCUGUUGUUAAAGAAGAACAUAUCUGAGAGUAACUGUUCAGGUAUUGACGGUAUUUAACCAGAAAGCCACGGCUAACUACGUGCCAGCAGCCGCGGUAAUACGUAGGUGGCAAGCGUUGUCCGGAUUUAUUGGGCGUAAAGCGAGCGCAGGCGGUUUUUUAAGUCUGAUGUGAAAGCCUUCGGCUCAACCGAAGAAGUGCAUCGGAAACUGGGAAACUUGAGUGCAGAAGAGGACAGUGGAACUCCAUGUGUAGCGGUGAAAUGCGUAGAUAUAUGGAAGAACACCAGUGGCGAAGGCGGCUGUCUGGUCUGUAACUGACGCUGAGGCUCGAAAGUAUGGGUAGCAAACAGGAUUAGAUACCCUGGUAGUCCAUACCGUAAACGAUGAAUGCUAAGUGUUGGAGGGUUUCCGCCCUUCAGUGCUGCAGCUAACGCAUUAAGCAUUCCGCCUGGGGAGUACGGCCGCAAGGCUGAAACUCAAAGGAAUUGACGGGGGCCCGCACAAGCGGUGGAGCAUGUGGUUUAAUUCGAAGCUACGCGAAGAACCUUACCAGGUCUUGACAUACUAUGCAAAUCUAAGAGAUUAGACGUUCCCUUCGGGGACAUGGAUACAGGUGGUGCAUGGUUGUCGUCAGCUCGUGUCGUGAGAUGUUGGGUUAAGUCCCGCAACGAGCGCAACCCUUAUUAUCAGUUGCCAGCAUUAAGUUGGGCACUCUGGUGAGACUGCCGGUGACAAACCGGAGGAAGGUGGGGAUGACGUCAAAUCAUCAUGCCCCUUAUGACCUGGGCUACACACGUGCUACAAUGGAUGGUACAACGAGUUGCGAACUCGCGAGAGUAAGCUAAUCUCUUAAAGCCAUUCUCAGUUCGGAUUGUAGGCUGCAACUCGCCUACAUGAAGUCGGAAUCGCUAGUAAUCGCGGAUCAGCAUGCCGCGGUGAAUACGUUCCCGGGCCUUGACACACCGCCCGUCACACCAUGAGAGUUUGUAACACCCAAAGUCGGUGGGGUAACCUUUUAGGAACCAGCCGCCUAAGGUGGAC